This 365-nucleotide long non-coding RNA is filed under the name Struthio camelus australis. RNAcentral describes it as "lncRNA (ENSSCUG00000007184.1)". Lineage: Eukaryota; Metazoa; Chordata; Aves; Struthioniformes; Struthionidae. The record is from RNAcentral.
UGUCUCCAGUGCACGCUGACAGCAUUGGCGUUCGGACUGAGGAGGUGCCUGUGACCCUGAGCUUGGAUGUGUUCAGAGGGACGCAGUUUGCUCUGGAAAUGGAUUUGGAUCUGACUCCUGGUCCGAGCCUGAGUUCCUCUCUUGGAUACUCACAUCAUGAUGAGGUUUAUCUUAAGGUAUGGAAACCCAAAGCACAGAGGAUUUGAACCCUCAGGGAAGGUGUGACUGCACAGAAACACUGGAAAAGAAAAAUCUGAGCGACUGUAAAGCCCAUGUCCAUUAUCACUGUAUCUGAGUGCCAGCAUGUACUUGUGCAUUACUUGAAAGAAGUCCUGCAGGUAAACCACACUUUAUUCUUAAACGUA